RNAcentral lists this unclassified non-coding RNA (3524 nucleotides) under Leishmania donovani. RNAcentral describes it as "gene:LdHU3.27.1090(CDS-product:hypothetical_prote in_conserved)". The record is from RNAcentral. Lineage: Eukaryota; Euglenozoa; Kinetoplastea; Trypanosomatida; Trypanosomatidae.
AGCGGGAAAAGGGGAGCAAGAACAGCAGUCACACAGUCACACAGGCACACGCAUACACACACACACACACACAUAUAUAUAUAUAUAUAUAUGCAUGUAUAUGUGUAUGUGUAUGUAUAUAUAUAUAUAUAAGCAUUGUAGGGCAAAGCGACGGAGGAGCAGGAAGGGCAUCGCAUUUUUUUUUGGUGCGGGAGGGCAUCUGUAGAGCGGUGGGAGGAAGGGAGGAGGAAAAGCAGGUGCUACCAUCUUCUGUGCGUUUUUGUGCAUGUGUCGGGGAGAGUCGCAGCGCCACACACACAGGAGCGCCGCAGUCUGAUAGAGGCAUCGCUGCCCUUUUCUCUUGCGGCUGCUGUUUUUGUUUUUUUUUUGCACCGAUCAUCCCUCUUUCUUCUUCAACCCCUCUGACUGGUCCCUCACCUCCUCCGACCUCCUCCACACCCGCCCACCCAUCCACACAUAGAUACACAUCCUUCCUUGCCGCGCCAGAUGCUGCGUAUCGGUCGGCGGAGCCUCGCUGUUGUCACAGCGGCUGCCAUCACGGACGCGGCGACCAAGCUGAACGCGCUCCUCGACAUGAAGAAUCGUACUCAUCCGGUUCCUCAUGGUGAGAUAAAGCGCUUUCUCAAGACGGAAGUAAUGCCGGUGCUGGCGGGAACGGAGCUGGACCGGCGCGGUAACUCGACGGACCUCCGUCACUUCCUCGGCCAGCUCACCCGCGACGCGGCCUUCGCGGCUGUCAUCGUUGGUGCCCGUCCAGAGGCGAGCUUUGUGCAGGCAAUCGUGACGUGCAUCAAGGAGGACCAUCGGCGCAUGCGCUUUCUUCCCAAGAUGUCCUCGCCGCAGGCGACCAAGAUCAUCGAAUAUCUUUGUAAGGCGGGCGUGACAGAUACGGAGGUGUACCCCGUCCUGAUCUCGCGGCUGAACUUUGGCACUCUGAACGAGCUGGGCAGGGUCAUGUUUGCACUCACGGAGUCAGGCUUUCACGCUCUGAACAUGCUUGUUGUUGUACCCCUCUACAGUGGAGAAAAGUGGGUGCUCAACUUCGACAAGACGAAGACGAAGAGGAACGCGCCGUCGUGCAGCGCCUUCGACGCCGUGCGCGUUCUGCGCGCGCUCUCCAAAUCGUGCCGCGCCUAUGUCGAGGAAUGCCGGCGCGCCCCAAAGGAAGGCAUGACGGGCGUCCCCAGCGAGAGCCUUAAUCUACUACGCAACAACCUCCUGCGCUUUAUCUUCGAAAACGCGUCCGUGCUGCGCGGGGCCCACUGGCUGAACGUCGCCCGUGCACUACUGAACUUCCCGAGGGAGUUCAGCGAACUGCGGAACUUCGUCCGAGACUACCCGGCUAUCGAGAAGGAAGUGCGGUCUGCGCUCGACGUGUCAAGGGACCGCACAGUGGCGCCAUCGUCGCACGACGCGGCAGCACCAUGCGCCGUCAACUGCGAAACCGUUGGGGCGGCCGCAAUGCAGUGCGUAUUUCAGUACGCCGAGCAGCGCAGUGCUAUCCCAGAUGUGGAGGUGGAGAGCCCCGUCAGCGCGGAGUUCCCUUUUGACCUUAGCUACGGCGACCUCGUGAAGCUGCUCCCCUUGCUCGAUCAGUUUCCCUGCAUGACAUCGGCGCAGAAGGCCCAGCAGCGUGCGGAGCUCGUGCUGCAGGUGAUGUGCGCGAACGUGCACCGGCUCCGCCUGCAGGACCUUGUCGCCGCGCUACAGGUGCUGCGCCGCAUACAGCCAGCGGCCACAACGACAGCGGCAGUGGAAACGAUCGCGCACGAGGCGGGCAACCGCCUCACCGUUUCCUCUGCAGAAGAGGUGCUCGGUGCCAUAUCCUUCCGCACGGUCGCGCAACUUGCAGCCGCGCUGGCGGCGCUGCGCGUCACUCGCUGCGACGGCUUCGUUACGUUUGUGACCACCAGGAAUGACAUAUUUCCGUCUUCGCUGACCGUGGACACGGCGCUUUCCUUCAUCAACGCCUUAGCGGCGCUGAAGAUGACGCACUCGAGCCUGUGCCAUGGCGCGCUGGAAUCGAUACUGCGCGGUGUGCUGAACUUUUACAGGCAGCAGCUGAGAAAUGGGCCCCUGCUGGACGCCUUUCCCAUCUUCGUCGCCCGGAUGCUGCGCGGCUGCGUGCUGCUCGACUACAUACCACCCGCGCCCAUUCUAAAGAGUCUUCUCGGCUCGGCGGAGGCGCCGCUGCGCAUGAGUGAGGAGGUGCACGGCGCUGGCGGUGUACUCGUGUUCGAUCUCUCACGCUCCCUGUCCCACUUUUUGAAGCAGGCACGGACCACCGCUCCGGAGCGGGAGAGGGAUCUGUGGGACAACGGUGUGGUGAGGGUUGCGCUGCCCCUCGCUGUCGCGUGUACCGAAGACACAGUACAUGCUAUGGAAAGCUAUCGGCAGACAUCAUCUUCCUCGCACACGGCAGUGUCGUGGCGCUCCACGGUCGAGAUGCUGGCUCUCUUCAUUGAUCCCCAGAUGAAUAGCACAGACAGAGGCACCAUGGUGCAGCGCCUGCUAGAGGUCUUUUCAGAGGUGGAAGCCUUGCUGAGGGCCGCUGCGACAGCGACCCGCGCACACCUCGAGCAGUGCUCCCGCCACAUCCACCACGCUGACGAGGCUCGUCAGCGUUCACGGCAGACGCCCUUCAACGCCAAUUGCAACAUGCACUUUCUCUCUGCUUUGCUAAUUUUUGAGUACGUCAUCUUCCACGCCAACACGCAAGCUGGGAGACUGCUCUCCAGUAUGGCUAGCCAACCCAACACUAGUGUCCGUGACGAUGCCGAGAAGGAUAUGGCAACUCUGGCGGGCUUAAAGGACCAGUACUGUGAGUUUCUUGGGGCCCCUAUCGGCGAGUCGGUGGCCGACACGCCUAUGCAUAUCGUGCGUCGCAUCUUUGAGUGCCCGCUCUCGGGCCCUGUCGCCGGCUCAGCCGCGGCGCCGUCCACAGUUGCGCUCCUGGAAAAGAGGGAUGCGGUGGAAAUCACGACCACGCUGCCGUUUGCGCUCUCUCUCGUGAUGGACCCGGGGCCAGUCAACGAGUUUUUCACGGAGCGCUGCAUGUCGAUUAUGGUGGGCGACGCGGAGGACGCACAUUGAGCCAGAAGGGAGCAAAGGCGGCGCUUGUGAGGUGCGCAGAGGCGGAAACGUUCUGAACGAAACACACGAGGCUCGACGGCAAGUGUACCAGCGUCUCUGUCUGCGCAGCCCGUCAACCCGACAACGUGGAUACGGGGGACUUCUUCCGCAGCGCCCUCCGCCCUCCGCCCUCCCUCUCCCCCCCCCCCGCGCGCAGAGGCAUACAUCUGCGCCCUCGUUGAGUCUCAAAUACAUGUGUGUUUUUUUUUUUUGGUGGGUCACCACCGAUUGUGAUGGUUGUCGGGGGGAGAGACGAGAAACGCAAAAUGAAACAUGCGCAGGAGACGCACUGGUGGCAGCGAUGGCACUGCCCGCGCUAGCAGCACAAGAAAAGUAAGAACAAGUGGUCGCGCACGUGUGCAGCGAGAGCAAGUGAUUGAAGGCGGCUCCAG